CGCCGGCGCGGCGCCUGUCCCCUGGUCCCGGCGCCCCCGCUCGGGGCCACCGUAGGGUCUGGGGGCUCCGGGCGGGGGGAGGCGCGAUCCUCGUCCGUGGGAGCCUCCCCAGCCCCGCAGUCCCAGCAGCAAACCGAGCUUGGUCGGACGGAUGCUCGCGUUGAGAAAGGUGAUUCAGUCCGUGGCUCAAAAUUCAACAUGACCAAAAUGCACACAGGGAGAGAGAGAGUGUGAGCAGGGGAG
Suricata suricatta (meerkat) is the source of this 243-nucleotide long non-coding RNA. RefSeq lists it as uncharacterized. The transcript is spliced from 3 exons. NCBI's taxonomy places the organism in Eukaryota, Metazoa, Chordata, Mammalia, Carnivora, Herpestidae. The record is from RefSeq and is a predicted model, not a curated record.